GGAAGAAUGGCUGAGUGGCUUAAAGCGGUGGUUUGCUAAAUCAUUAUAUAAUGUUAUAUCAUAGGUUCGAAUCCUAUUUCUCCCA
RNAcentral lists this transfer RNA (85 nucleotides) under Hildenbrandia rubra. RNAcentral's name for it is "tRNA-Ser". It matches the Rfam family "tRNA". From Rfam's summary of the family: Transfer RNA (tRNA) molecules are approximately 80 nucleotides in length. Their secondary structure includes four short double-helical elements and three loops (D, anti-codon, and T loops). Further hydrogen bonds mediate the characteristic L-shaped molecular structure. tRNAs have two regions of fundamental functional importance: the anti-codon, which is responsible for specific mRNA codon recognition, and the 3' end, to which the tRNAs corresponding amino acid is attached (by aminoacyl-tRNA synthetases). tRNAs cope with the degeneracy of the genetic code in two manners: having more than one tRNA (with a specific anti-codon) for a particular amino acid; and 'wobble' base-pairing, i.e. permitting non-standard base-pairing at the 3rd anti-codon position. The record is from RNAcentral. Lineage: Eukaryota; Rhodophyta; Florideophyceae; Hildenbrandiales; Hildenbrandiaceae.